GUCAUUUAAGCAUAUUAAACAUUAAAUUGACUUUCAAAUCCAUUUUAUUUUUUUUUUUUAAAAAAAAAUUCCAGUUUUUGUUAAAUUGUAAUCCACCUUAUCCUAACUAAAGCUGCACCUGGAUCUAUUUUUUUUAAUUAAUUUUAAUUUGAAUAACCCUUUUAAAAAGGUAUUUAUACAACGGUAUACAUACUUUUAGCAGGUAAGAUAUAUCGUGGGGUAUCGUUUAUUAGGCAGAUUCCUCUGAGAGUAUAGAAUGCCGCCAAGUUCUUUAGGUUUCAAGAUAGUAGCUAUUAGUACC
Molecule: ribosomal RNA, 301 nt
Filed under: Armadillo officinalis (oak-woodland pillbug)
Lineage: Eukaryota; Metazoa; Arthropoda; Malacostraca; Isopoda; Armadillidae
Description: partial small subunit ribosomal RNA
Source: RNAcentral